UACGGAGGGGGCUAGCGUUGCUCGGAAUUACUGGGCGUAAAGCGCACGUAGGCGGCUAUUUAAGUCUGGGGUGAAAUCCCGGGGCUCAACCCCGGAACUGCCUUUGAUACUGGGUAUCUGGAGGUCGAGAGAGGCGAGUGGAAUUCCGAGUGUAGAGGUGAAAUUCGUAGAUAUUCGGAGGAACACCAGUGGCGAAGGCGGCUCGCUGGCUCGAUACUGACGCUGAGGUGCGAAAGCGUGGGGAGCAAACAGG
RNAcentral lists this ribosomal RNA (253 nucleotides) under uncultured bacterium. RNAcentral's name for it is "partial 16S ribosomal RNA". It matches the Rfam family "Bacterial small subunit ribosomal RNA", at positions 524 to 776 of the family's 1533-position model. The record is from RNAcentral.